AGAGUUUGAUCCUGGCUCAGGAUGAACGCUGGCGGUAUGCCUAACACAUGCAAGUCGAACGGAAUCUUCGGAUUUAGUGGCGGACGGGUGAGUAACGCGUGAGAAUCUGCCUUCAGGAUGGGGACAACAGUUGGAAACGACUGCUAAUACCCGAUAUGCAGCGAUGUGAAAGAUUUAUCGCCUGGAGAUGAGCUCGCGUUGGAUUAGCUAGAUGGUGUGGUAAUGGCGCACCAUGGCGACGAUCCAUAGCUGGUCUGAGAGGAUGAGCAGCCACGCUGGGACUGAGACACGGCCCAGACUCCUACGGGAGGCAGCAGUGGGGAAUUUUCCGCAAUGGGCGCAAGCCUGACGGAGCAAUACCGCGUGAGGGAGGAAGGCUCUUGGGUCGUAAACCUCUUUUCUCAGGGAAGAACACAAUGACGGUACCUGAGGAAUAAGCAUCGGCUAACUCCGUGCCAGCAGCCGCGGUAAUACGGAGGAUGCAAGCGUUAUCCGGAAUGAUUGGGCGUAAAGCGUCCGUAGGUGGUUUUGUAAGUCUGUGGUUAAAGCGUGGAGCUCAACUCCAUAAGGGCCAUGGAAACUACAAGACUAGAGUGAAGUAGGGGUAGAGGGAAUUCCCAGUGUAGCGGUGAAAUGCGUAGAGAUUGGGAAGAACACCGGUGGCGAAAGCGCUCUACUGGACUUAUACUGACACUGAGGGACGAAAGCUAGGGGAGCGAAAGGGAUUAGAUACCCCUGUAGUCCUAGCCGUAAACGAUGGAUACUAGGUGUUGCCCGUAUCGACCCGGGCAGUGCCGUAGCUAACGCGUUAAGUAUCCCGCCUGGGGAGUACGCACGCAAGUGUGAAACUCAAAGGAAUUGACGGGGGCCCGCACAAGCGGUGGAGUAUGUGGUUUAAUUCGAUGCAACGCGAAGAACCUUACCAGGGCUUGACAUGUCUGGAAUCUCGGCGAAAGUUGAGAGUGCCUUCGGGAACCAGAACACAGGUGGUGCAUGGCUGUCGUCAGCUCGUGUCGUGAGAUGUUGGGUUAAGUCCCGCAACGAGCGCAACCCUCGUUUUUAGUUGCCAUCAUUCAGUUGGGCACUCUAGAAAGACUGCCGGUGACAAACCGGAGGAAGGUGGGGAUGACGUCAAGUCAGCAUGCCCCUUACGCCCUGGGCUACACACGUACUACAAUGCUAUGGACAAAGGGCAGCCAACCAGCGAUGGUCGCUAAUCCCAUAAACCAUGGCUCAGUUCAGAUUGCAGGCUGCAACUCGCCUGCAUGAAGGCGGAAUCGCUAGUAAUCGCAGGUCAGCAUACUGCGGUGAAUCCGUUCCCGGGCCUUGUACACACCGCCCGUCACACCAUGGGAGUUGGUCACGCCCGAAGUCGUUACCCUAACUGCUUGCAGAGGGGGACGCCGAAGGUAGGGCUGAUGACUGGGGUGAAGUCGAAGCAAGGUA
This 1446-nucleotide ribosomal RNA is filed under the name metagenome. Its description in RNAcentral is "bacterial SSU rRNA". It matches the Rfam family "Bacterial small subunit ribosomal RNA". The record is from RNAcentral.